UACGUAGGGGGCUAGCGUUGUCCGGAAUCAUUGGGCGUAAAGCGCGUGUAGGCGGGCCGGUAAGUCCGCUGUGAAAGUCGGGGGCUCAACCCUCGGAUGCCGGUGGAUACUGUCGGGCUUGAGUACGGAAGAGGCGAGUGGAAUUCCUGGUGUAGCGGUGAAAUGCGCAGAUAUCAGGAGGAACACCAAUUGCGAAGGCAGCUCGCUGGGACGUUACUGACGCUGAGACGCGAAAGCGUGGGGAGCAAACAGG
This 253-nucleotide ribosomal RNA is filed under the name uncultured bacterium. Its description in RNAcentral is "partial 16S ribosomal RNA". It matches the Rfam family "Bacterial small subunit ribosomal RNA", at positions 524 to 776 of the family's 1533-position model. The record is from RNAcentral.